RNAcentral lists this ribosomal RNA (435 nucleotides) under Ptychotrema runssoranum. Its description in RNAcentral is "partial 16S ribosomal RNA". It matches the Rfam family "Bacterial large subunit ribosomal RNA", at positions 1817 to 2597 of the family's 2925-position model. Lineage: Eukaryota; Metazoa; Mollusca; Gastropoda; Stylommatophora; Streptaxidae. The record is from RNAcentral.
AGCCUUAUGAUUUUAUAUUAGGUGAUUUCUGCUCAAUGGGUAGUAAUCUUUAAUAGCCGCAGUACUUUGACUGUGCUAAGGUAGCAUAAUAAGUUGUCUUUUAAUUGAAGACUAGAAUGAAUGAAAGUUUGGCAGGUAACUUUUUUUUUGGUUUUAAUUUUAACUUUUUUUUAAGGUGAAAAUACCUUUUUCAUGAAGAAAGACGAGAAGACCCUUAGAGUUUUAAUAAAAAGUAUUACUCUUACUUUUUUUUUGUUGGGGUGACAGACUUUUAUAUAAUAAUAAAGUUAUAAAUUAUAGGACUAUUUUGUGAAUAAUAAAACUACCUUAGGGAUAACAGCAUUAUUUUUAAAAAAGAUUGUGACCUCGAUGUUGGACUAGGGACCAUAUUAAUUAACAAUUAUAAGGAUAUGUUCUGUUCGAACACAAGACCCU